This 522-nucleotide ribosomal RNA is filed under the name uncultured Prevotella sp. RNAcentral describes it as "bacterial SSU rRNA". It matches the Rfam family "Bacterial small subunit ribosomal RNA", at positions 39 to 507 of the family's 1533-position model. Lineage: Bacteria; Pseudomonadati; Bacteroidota; Bacteroidia; Bacteroidales; Prevotellaceae. The record is from RNAcentral.
UUCCCUUAGGCCGUCUACGGGAAUGAACGGACUAGCGUUACCAGGCGUUAACACACUAGCAAAGUCGAGGGGAAACGGAAUGAGAGAGCUUGCUCUCUUAGUGUCGACCGGCGCACGGUGAGUAACGACGUAUCCAACCUCGCCUCUGACCAAGGGAUAACCCGUCGAAAGUCGGACUAAUACCUUAUGCAGUCGUCGGAAGUCAUCUGAUGACGCGAAAGAUUUCAUCGGUGAGGGAUGGGGAUGCGUCUGAUUAGCUUGUUGGCGGGGUAACGGCCCACCAAGGCAACGAUCAGUAGGGGUUCUGAGAGGAAGGUCCCCCACAUUGGAACUGAGACACGGUCCAAACUCCUACGGGAGGCAGCAGUGAGGAAUAUUGGUCAAUGGGCGCGAGCCUGAACCAGCCAAGUAGCGUGCAGGAUGACGGCCCUAUGGGUUGUAAACUGCUUUUAUGCGGGGAUAAAGUGAGGGACGUGUCCUUCAUUGCAGGUACCGCAUGAAUAAGGACCGGCUAAUUCCGUG